AACGGAUAAGACGCGCAAGGAUAAGACAUGCAAGUCGAACGUAAUWUCAUAGCAAUAUAAAUUCAGUGGCGGACGUGACAGUAACACGUGAACAAUUAAACCGGAAGAGAGGGAUAGCCCAGGGAAACGWGGACUAAUMCYGUAUGUGAGGGGGCGUGGGCAUCCCCUGACAAUGAAACGCGCCAUGCCGUGMGGCUUCMGGAUGAGUUCGCGGCCUAUCAGSUAGUUGGYGRGGUAACGGCCCACCAAGSCUAMGACGGGUAGCUGGUCUGAGAGGAYGACCAGCCACACUGGAACUGAGACACGGUCCAGACACCUACGGGUGGCAGCAGUCGAGAAUCAUUCWCAAUGGGGGAAASCCUGAWGGWGUGACGCCGCGUGGAGGAUGACGGUCUUCGGAUUGUAAACUCCUGUCAAGUGAGAGUAAGCCUUGGGGUUAAACGCAUCCAAAUUUGAGAGUAUCAAAAGAGGAAGAGACGGCUAACUCUGUG
Molecule: ribosomal RNA, 491 nt
Filed under: uncultured bacterium
Lineage: Bacteria
Description: partial 16S ribosomal RNA
Rfam family: Bacterial small subunit ribosomal RNA
Source: RNAcentral